RNAcentral lists this ribosomal RNA (527 nucleotides) under uncultured bacterium. Its description in RNAcentral is "bacterial SSU rRNA". It matches the Rfam family "Bacterial small subunit ribosomal RNA", at positions 777 to 1314 of the family's 1533-position model. The record is from RNAcentral.
AAUAGAUACCCUGGUAGUCCACGCUGUAAACGAUGCGAACUAGGUGUUGGUAGUAUUAAACCUACCAGUGCCGAAGCUAACGCGAUAAGUUCGCCGCCUGGGGACUACGGCCGCAAGGCUAAAACUCAAAGGAAUUGACGGGGGCCCGCACAAGCAGCGGAGCGUGUGGUUUAAUUCGAUGGAACACGAAGAACCUUACCUGGGCUUGACAUGGUCGCAGUAGUGAAGCGAAAGCGGAACGAGCCUUCGGGCAGCGAUCACAGGUGCUGCAUGGCUGUCGUCAGCUCGUGUCGCGAGAUGUUGGGUUAAGUCCCGCAACGAGCGCAACCCUCGCUACUAGUUACAUGUGUCUAGUGGGACUGCCGGAGUCAAACCGGAGGAAGGUGGGGAUGACGUCAAGUCAGCAUGGCCUUUAUGUCCAGGGCUACACACACGCUACAAUGGCCGGUACAAUGAGUUGCUAAACCGCGAGGUGGCGCUAAUCUCAUCAAAGCCGGUCUCAGUUCGGAUUGCAGGCUGCAACCCCG